AUUGAACGCUGGCGGCAGGCCUAACACAUGCAAGUCGAGCGGAUGAAGGGAGCUUGCUCCUGGAUUCAGCGGCGGACGGGUGAGUAAUGCCUAGGAAUCUGCCUGGUAGUGGGGGAUAACGUCCGGAAACGGGCGCUAAUACCGCAUACGUCCUGAGGGAGAAAGUGGGGGAUCUUCGGACCUCACGCUAUCAGAUGAGCCUAGGUCGGAUUAGCUAGUUGGUGGGGUAAAGGCCUACCAAGGCGACGAUCCGUAACUGGUCUGAGAGGAUGAUCAGUCACCGUGGAGCAGAGACACUGGCCCGCUUACGAGGGGAGGCAGAGGGGUGAAAUGGGGGCGGUGGGGCGACGGCAGCAGUCAGCCAGGGGGUGUGUGUGAUGAAGUGCGUCGGAUUGUAAAGACUAUUGUGUGGGGAGGAAGGGCAGCAACUUAUUUCCUUGCUGUUUUGACGUCACAAGAAGAAUAACCACCGGCUAAUUCCGUGCCCGCCGCCGCGGUAAUAAAUCGCAGGUCCCCCUCUCCUC
Molecule: ribosomal RNA, 524 nt
Filed under: uncultured bacterium
Lineage: Bacteria
Description: partial 16S ribosomal RNA
Rfam family: Bacterial small subunit ribosomal RNA
Source: RNAcentral